GCUGUCCUAAAUUUUCCUGGAGAAUGACGUUAUAAUGCAUCUAAUUUACAUAAAAGCAGAUCCUCCACCACGUUUCUAUGCCCCUUACACGACCAGCUAGACUUGACAAUACCAGAGUGGGGAUCACACAGUGAGCUGACAAAGUUGGACGGCUCUGUCAUUUGCCGCUAGCGGGCUCAUGGAACGUCGGUGGACCGGUACAGUCUUGCUGGUGUUGGCUCUGUCCAAUACUCCUCAGCAAUCCUCCAUAUGCAGCAGAUCACAAUGUUAUCAUGGUCCAAGGGGAAUCCAGUCUAACCUCGUCUGUCAGCCUAUCCAUUACUACCACGAACAGGAAGGGGCUCAGCGCAGAACCCGGAUGCAGUCCCACCGCCACCUGAAAUUCUUCUGACACACCAACGGCACAUCUCACUGCUAUUCUGCUGCCCUCAUACAUGUCCUGUACUAUUCUAACAUAUUAACAACUAGUUCCCAAUAUAGCACCUAUAUGUUGAGUAGACAAGUUAUGAAUUCUAAACAUUGUUUUCACUAUUUUCCACAUACUGUUAUAUAUUUCAGGUGUAGUACCUUUCAUUGAAAAAAGAUCACAUUGAAGAGAGACUGCCAAGUACCAGCUUUUAGAUAUACGGGGGAGAAAAAAGUCUUGAGAACGGCAGGCAGCGCUGUCAACUGUAAACCGACAGUGAUCCAUGUGCUGCGACCUCACUCGACACAAAGAAGCGCCUCUGCGGGGUUUGCCUGGAAGGAGAAUCUUCUUCUUGACCUGGUCCCCUCCUAAAUAGAGCUGACUCUUUUGCAUGAGGAACACAAAGAAUUCUGAGCAGCCAGAACAGAGAACUGUGCACUACUUUCCAACGUUGCAAUGAGUGAUUACUAUUCCAUUUGUCCUGUUCGCCCUCAUUUAUUCCCUUCUGCAAAAUGCAGUUCGAAAGUUAAGCCUUGUCUCACAAAAUAUGUUACCAUUCUCCAUGGUAACAAACAAUGCAACUCGUAAUAUUAUAUAUUGUUUAUACUACCCAGAAAUAAUAUUUACUGUCUUAUCGUCUGUGCAUUUAAAACCAUACUAUUAUCAUAGUGUUUAUGUAUAUCGUACAUUUUUGCUUGCAGCACAUGCAAGUUGAACCACCUGUCAACUAAAUUCAAACACACUGAUAUCAACAAUUUAUAAGCAUUUUAUGUCCCUAAUUUAGUUAUUGUAUCACAUGUUUCUAUUCAGAUUAGCCUUUACAUACAGCUCCUCUUCUGUCCUGUUUUAUGAGCUCAAAUUGACCUUUUAACUUGCAAGAGCUGAGGUUGGGUACCUUUUUUUCUUUUUUUUUGUCUCACUG
Molecule: long non-coding RNA, 1328 nt
Organism: Syngnathoides biaculeatus (alligator pipefish)
Lineage: Eukaryota; Metazoa; Chordata; Actinopteri; Syngnathiformes; Syngnathidae
Exons: 3
Source: RefSeq, a predicted model, not a curated record